RNAcentral lists this ribosomal RNA (450 nucleotides) under uncultured bacterium. RNAcentral's name for it is "partial 16S ribosomal RNA". It matches the Rfam family "Bacterial small subunit ribosomal RNA", at positions 338 to 795 of the family's 1533-position model. The record is from RNAcentral.
CCUACGGGUGGCUGCAGUAAGGAAUAUUGGUCAAUGGACGAAAGUCUGAACCAGCCAUCCCGCGUGCAGGAUGAAAGCCCUAUGGGUUGUAAACUGCUUUUAGCAGAGAAGAAAAGCUUUCAUUAAUGAGAGUCUGACGGUAUCUGCAGAAUAAGCACCGGCUAACUCCGUGCCAGCAGCCGCGGUAAUACGGAGGGUGCGAGCGUUAUUCGGAAUUACUGGGGCGUAAGGGUGGGAUGGCGGAGGUGGAGAAAUCUUGUCGCUUAACGCUACAAUUGCCGAUGAUACUGGUACUCUUGAAUUGGGUUGAGGUUAGCGGAAUGUGACAUGUAGCGGUGAAAUGCAUAGAUAUGUCAUGGAACACCAAUUGCGAAGGCAGCUAACUGGGCCUUGAUUGACGCUGAGGCACGAAAGCGUGGGUAGCGAACAGGAUUAGAUACCCCAGUAGUC